This 245-nucleotide small nuclear RNA is filed under the name Cricetulus griseus (Chinese hamster). Its description in RNAcentral is "7SK RNA (ENSCGRG00001005600.1)". The stretch from base 26 to 245 matches the Rfam family "7SK RNA", at positions 1 to 283 of the family's 331-position model. Rfam says of the family: 7SK was discovered as an abundant small nuclear RNA in the mid-70s but a possible function has only recently been suggested. Two independent studies have found that 7SK RNA binds the CDK9/cyclin T complex (known as elongation factor P-TEFb). P-TEFb activates transcription by phosphorylating the C-terminal domain of RNA polymerase II. Lineage: Eukaryota; Metazoa; Chordata; Mammalia; Rodentia; Cricetidae. The record is from RNAcentral.
AAAAGUCAGGUGUCUAUAAGUAUGCGGAUUUGCCUCCCUCACCACUCCAUGUAGUCCCUCCAGAAGCUGCAUGCUUGGUGAAAGAGGACAACCAUCCUGAACAAAGUAGAGCUGGUCUUCAAUCAAGGGUAUAUGAGUAUCUGGGCUUCCCUGCUAGAAUCUCCCAAAUACAUCACUGUCAAUUUUUUUAUUUUCUUUUUUUAUUACUUCAAAUUAGGAACAAGCUUGUUUCACAUGUCAAUCCC